This 555-nucleotide ribosomal RNA is filed under the name Trichogaster fasciata (banded gourami). RNAcentral's name for it is "partial 16S ribosomal RNA". It matches the Rfam family "Bacterial large subunit ribosomal RNA", at positions 1863 to 2619 of the family's 2925-position model. The record is from RNAcentral. Lineage: Eukaryota; Metazoa; Chordata; Actinopteri; Anabantiformes; Osphronemidae.
CCUGUGACAAAUGUUCAACGGCCGCGGUAUUUUGACCGUGCAAAGGUAGCGUAAUCACUUGUCUUUUAAAUGAAGACCUGUAUGAAUGGCAUAACGAGGGCUUAACUGUCUCCUUUUUCAGGUCAAUGAAAUUGAUCUCUCCGUGCAGAAGCGGGGAUAAUAACAUAAGACGAGAAGACCCUAUGGAGCUUUAGACACCAAAGCAGAUCUUGUUAAAAACCCCACAACAAAGGGAUAAACCAAAAGAAGCCUGCCCUAUUGUCUUUGGUUGGGGCGACCGUGGGGAAAUAAAUAACCCCCAUAUGGACUGAGAAUACUAUUCUUAAAAACAAGAGCCACAGCUCUAGUUAGCAGAAAUUCUGACCUUCAGAUCCGGCAAUGCCGAUCAAUGGACCGAGUUACCCUAGGGAUAACAGCGCAAUCCUCUUUUAGAGCCCAUAUCGACAAGAGGGUUUACGACCUCGAUGUUGGAUCAGGACAUCCUAAUGGUGCAGCCGCUAUUAAGGGUUCGUUUGUUCAACGAUUAAAGUCCUACGUGAUCUGAGUUCAGACCGG